Molecule: ribosomal RNA, 397 nt
Filed under: uncultured bacterium
Lineage: Bacteria
Description: partial 16S ribosomal RNA
Rfam family: Bacterial small subunit ribosomal RNA
Source: RNAcentral
AUACGUAGGGGGCGAGCGUUGUCCGGAAUGAUUGGGCGUAAAGGGCGCGUAGGCGGCCUGUUAAGUCUGGAGUGAAAGUCCUGUUUUCAAGAUGGGAAUUGCUUUGGAUGCUGAUGGGCUUGAGUGCAGGAGAGGUUAUCGGAAUUCCCGGUGUAGCGGUGAAAUGCGUAGAGAUCGGGAGGAACACCAGUGGCGAAGGCGGGUAACUGGACUGCAACUGACGCUGAGGCGCGAAAGUGUGGGGAGCAAACAGGAUUAGAUACCCUGGUAGUCCACACUGUAAACGAUGAAUGCUAGGUGUAAGAGGUAUCGACCCCUUUUGUGCCGGAGUUAACACAAUAAGCAUUCCGCCUGGGGAGUACGGCCGCAAGGUUGAAACUCAAAUGAAUUGACGGGG